GCGGGAUUAGUACAUUGGUAGUAUGCCACCUUCCCAAGGUGGAGAGGGGGGUUCGAUUCCCCUAUCCCGCUCCA
Molecule: transfer RNA, 74 nt
Filed under: bacterium
Lineage: Bacteria
Description: tRNA-Gly
Rfam family: tRNA
About the family: Transfer RNA (tRNA) molecules are approximately 80 nucleotides in length.
Source: RNAcentral